This 72-nucleotide transfer RNA is filed under the name Georgenia sp. RNAcentral describes it as "tRNA-Gln". It matches the Rfam family "tRNA". From Rfam's summary of the family: Transfer RNA (tRNA) molecules are approximately 80 nucleotides in length. Their secondary structure includes four short double-helical elements and three loops (D, anti-codon, and T loops). Further hydrogen bonds mediate the characteristic L-shaped molecular structure. tRNAs have two regions of fundamental functional importance: the anti-codon, which is responsible for specific mRNA codon recognition, and the 3' end, to which the tRNAs corresponding amino acid is attached (by aminoacyl-tRNA synthetases). tRNAs cope with the degeneracy of the genetic code in two manners: having more than one tRNA (with a specific anti-codon) for a particular amino acid; and 'wobble' base-pairing, i.e. permitting non-standard base-pairing at the 3rd anti-codon position. Lineage: Bacteria; Bacillati; Actinomycetota; Actinomycetes; Allobogoriellales; Allobogoriellaceae. The record is from RNAcentral. RNAcentral also lists the same sequence under 3 other names.
UCCGCCCUGGUGUAAUGGCAGCACGCAGGCCUUUGGUGCCUUGCGGUCCGGGUUCGAAUCCUGGGGGCGGAG